ACAGGAGAUGAACUAGAGCAGACAACAGAAGUGAUCGAACUUGAGAAUGAUUAUGACAUCCUACCAUGUCCCAAAGCCUUGAAUUAUGAAGAGGCCAUUUACGAUACCCCUCUGUCCAACCAGAAAGCCAGUGAGAGACGGCAUGAAAUGACUGAAAGCAUUUAUGAUGUUCCAAGGUGUGCAUUUACACAAACAUCUAAUUCAGUGACUGAUACCCCCUGUGCUGAAGAGAGGGCUGAGAUUGCUGGUUUGCUGGGUGACAUGGUGUCAUGUUUGGGAGGAAACACUGCAGAAUGGGUUAGGGCUGCAUCAAAAGCUGUACGCCAACCUCAUCUAUAAGAUUUUUCCACACUGCUUCAUGUGGAGUAGUCUGUGUUUAACUUAACAUUUUUAAGGAAAAUGUGAUUUAACUGGCACUGUCAUACACUAUAUAGUCAAUUAUACAUUUACUCAGAAAUAUUCUACAACUCCACCCCCAAUAAAGGAUUCCUAAUGCUAACUCCCCUUACCUCUCAAAUGAACAUUGUAAUAGAGUAGAAGUAUAUU
This is a long non-coding RNA of Trichomycterus rosablanca, 546 nucleotides long. RefSeq lists it as uncharacterized. Lineage: Eukaryota; Metazoa; Chordata; Actinopteri; Siluriformes; Trichomycteridae. The record is from RefSeq and is a predicted model, not a curated record. The transcript is spliced from 4 exons.